CAAACUGGAGAUGGCGACCGGCGCACGGGUGAGUAACACGUAUCCAACCUGCCGAUAACUCGGGGAUGGCCUUUCGAAAGAAAGAUUAAUACCCGAUGGCAUAGUUCUUCCGCAUGGUGGAACUAUUAAAGAAUUUCGGUCAUCGAUGGGGAUGCGUUCCAUUAGGUUGUUGGCGGGGUAACGGCCCACCAAGCCUUCGAUGGAUAGGGGUUCUGAGAGGAAGGUCCCCCACAUUGGAACUGAGACACGGUCCAAACUCCUACGGGAGGCAGCAUG
Molecule: ribosomal RNA, 276 nt
Filed under: uncultured bacterium
Lineage: Bacteria
Description: partial 16S ribosomal RNA
Rfam family: Bacterial small subunit ribosomal RNA
Source: RNAcentral